GCCUUGUUGAGUUGGAAUAGCUCAGCUGGUAGAGCAGGAGGCUCUUAAUUUCAACGGUGUGAGUUUGAUUCCCAUGUUGGGCA
This is a non-coding RNA of Podarcis lilfordi (Lilford's wall lizard), 83 nucleotides long. NCBI's taxonomy places the organism in Eukaryota, Metazoa, Chordata, Lepidosauria, Squamata, Lacertidae. The record is from the annotation of a GenBank genome assembly.